UGGGGGAUAUUGCACAAUGGAGGAAACUCUGAUGCAGCAACGCCGCGUGAGGGAAGAAGGUCUUCGGAUUGUAAACCUUUGUCCUCGGUGACGAUAAUGACGGUAGCCGAGGAGGAAGCUCCGGCUAACUACGUGCCAGCAGCCGCGGUAAUACGUAGGGAGCAAGCGUUGUCCGGAUUUACUGGGUGUAAAGGGUGCGUAGGCGGCAAUGCAAGUCAGAUGUGAAAACUAUGGGCUUAACUCAUAGAUUGCAUUUGAAACUGUGUUGCUUGAGUGAAGUAGAGGCAGGCGGAAUUCCCGGUGUAGCGGUGAAAUGCGUAGAGAUCGGGAGGAACACCAGUGGCGAAGGCGGCCUGCUGGGCUUUAACUGACGCUGAGGCACGAAAGCAUGGGUAGCAAACA
Molecule: ribosomal RNA, 402 nt
Filed under: uncultured bacterium
Lineage: Bacteria
Description: bacterial SSU rRNA
Rfam family: Bacterial small subunit ribosomal RNA
Source: RNAcentral